AUUGAACGCUGGCGGCAGGCUUAACACAUGCGAGUCGAGCGGGGGAAGGUAGCUUGCUACCGGACCUAGCGGCGGACGGGUGAGUAAUGAUUAGGAAUCUGCCUAUUAGUGGGGGACAACAUCUCGAAAGGGAUGCUAAUACCGCAUACGUCCUAUGGGAGAAAGCAGGGGAUCUUCGGACCUUGCGCUAAUAGAUGAGCCUAAGUCGGAUUAGUUAGUUGGUGGGGUAAAGGCCUACCAAGGAGACGAUCUGUAGCGGGUCUGAGAGGAGGAUCCGCCACACUGGGAGUGAGACACGGCCCAGACUCCGACGGGAGGCAGCAGUGGGGAAUAUUGGACAAUGGGGGGAACCCUGAUCCAGCCAUGCCGCGUGUGUGAAGAAGGCCUUAUGGUUGUAAAGCACUUUAAGCGAGGAGGAGGCUACUUUAGUUAAUACCUAGAGAUAGUGGACGUUACUCGCAGAAUAAGCACCGGCUAACUCUGUGCCAGCCGCCGCCGUAA
Molecule: ribosomal RNA, 501 nt
Filed under: uncultured bacterium
Lineage: Bacteria
Description: partial 16S ribosomal RNA
Rfam family: Bacterial small subunit ribosomal RNA
Source: RNAcentral